UACGUAGGGGGCUAGCGUUGUCCGGAAUCAUUGGGCGUAAAGAGCGUGUAGGCGGCUCGGUAAGUCCGCUGUAAAAGUCAAAGGCUCAACCUUUGAAUGUCAGUGGAUACUGCCGGGCUAGAGUCCGGAAGAGGCGAGUGGAAUUCCUGGUGUAGCGGUGAAAUGCGCAGAUAUCAGGAGGAACACCGAUGGCGAAGGCAGGUCUCUGGGCAUUAACUGACGCUGAGGAGCGAAAGCAUGGGGAGCGAACAGG
Molecule: ribosomal RNA, 253 nt
Filed under: uncultured bacterium
Lineage: Bacteria
Description: partial 16S ribosomal RNA
Rfam family: Bacterial small subunit ribosomal RNA
Source: RNAcentral